Molecule: ribosomal RNA, 513 nt
Filed under: Triticum aestivum (bread wheat)
Lineage: Eukaryota; Viridiplantae; Streptophyta; Magnoliopsida; Poales; Poaceae
Description: partial small subunit ribosomal RNA
Source: RNAcentral
GUAGAUCCAUCUACUUUAUCUGGCUUUACAUGUGAAUCUCCUCAUUCUUCUGAUGAGUCAUUUGACUCCAACUAUAAACUGUUCAAAAAUCAGAAUGGUGAAUUAUUUGCUAGAUAUGUUGGCACUAACUGUAGGAACGGUUCCCCUAUGAAGAAAAUCUGGGUUCCCAAAAGGUGCCUUGAAAAUCUUCAGAUGAAUGUCAUCAUGACACCACCUAUGAAGAAUAGGAAGCAAAGAUCAAAAUCUUCAUAUGGACCAAAUUCUUCAUAUGGAUCCAAGUCCUCAUACGGACCAAAUUCCUCACGUGGAUCAAAAUCCUCAAAAGGAUCAAAGUCCUCAUAUGAACAUCAUCAUGCUAACACUUCUGUUUCGCAGGGAAGAUUUAAGGGCUAUGAAUAUGAGCAUUAUUCUACAAACCAUUAUGUUCAUAAGUCCUCAAAGAAUUUCUCUGCUUAUUCAUAUGCUUACCCUAACUCCUCUUAUGUGAAACAAAGUGGACUGGCAUCUAUGCCA